GUCAGAUGAUUUGAAUUGUUAUGCUGAUGUUUUGUUAGUGUGACAGGGAUAACAUGUUAGAAUUCUGAUUGCA
Small nucleolar RNA from Pipistrellus kuhlii (Kuhl's pipistrelle), 73 nucleotides. RefSeq annotates it as small nucleolar RNA SNORD28. The transcript has a single exon. NCBI's taxonomy places the organism in Eukaryota, Metazoa, Chordata, Mammalia, Chiroptera, Vespertilionidae. The record is from RefSeq and is a predicted model, not a curated record.